AUUCGGAUCUGAGCACUUUCCUGAUAGAAUUACAGGAGGUUGGUCGUAAACCUCUGACUAGGAAGGAGUUUCGAAGAACCAAAUUUGAAGUGUAAGCACUCCAGAAUUUCGCUUUUGGUGGGUGUUUUGGGAUGCCAAGUAGGGGCCGGACACCAAGGAGCAGUAGUUCUCUACAAUGUAGGACUUGAAAUUAACUUGGAAUUGUCCAGGUAAACACUACAGGUUCAUCCAUACAUUAGUUGUGAAUCAUAUGGACUUGCAAUCCGGAUGUUGUGAUUCAUCCAUGCAAGGCAUCCAAAACAUGCGAUCUUAUUUUGAGUUUUGGCGAGUUCUCCGUCCAGCUGAAUCUGGGGAUGUAAUCUUAAAUUGUUAGUAAUAUAAUUUACAAUUAUAAUCAUUAUUUGACAACUGUGGUCAAUUGUAAUCAAUAAUGUGUCCACCAAAUGGCAUUCACUUAAAGAUUCAUUAACCAUUGUGAUCAAUUGUAAGUGAACAUGGAUAUUGAUGGACUCAUGUGCACUGUUUUUUAUUUUUGUUAACACAGUAAGUAAAUGUAUUUUCUGUCCUUAUGCAAUCAUGGUUUUAAGACUGCUCGCUACUUUCAAGAACAGGCAGGCAACAAUGAAUAAAGAUAAGAAAAUGACUAUCUGUUCACAAUUGGUGUGUAUCUUCUUCAAGUGAAUGCCAUUUGAUGGGAGCUUAAUACUUAGAUAAAUGAGAGCAAUUUCGAUUUCACAUGUUUUUCAUGGUUCAAUCGACUUGGACUACUCCCUUCGUCCUUGCCUAUCAGGUGGUGACACUCAUGCGUGACUCGACUCCGGAUCAUUCAAGACUAACUGGUUUGCAGAUGCAAUUGUCAUUGAACUACUCACAGCUUUAUGCACCUCUCACAGUUCUUUUAGUAUCCCAUUGGCGGUCGCGUAAGCUUCUCCAUCUCAAGAGCAGAUUGUUCCACAGGACGGGCAACUUAGAGACAAAGCAUGAGAUGUGAUGAUCCGAAUGUAUGGGAGUAUGCAUCAAAUUUUGGUGGCUUCAAAUAGUGUACCAGAGGAAAUGUGCUAUCUCUGGACAUGGAGGCAAAGACCGAGAACCAAGUCCCAGAGUAUGUACCAUACUCAUUGAUAAAUAAUAGGGCACUGGAAUUUGGCAUACUAUUUUCAAGUAUGUUUCUGUUGAAAGGAAUCUAUGUGGUAACUAUUGGAUCUGUCAAUUACACAUUUCCUUGAUCCAAUUUCGAAAGGAGCGGCAGCUUGUUAUUGAAUAUUGAGGCGUAAACUCUCACUUCUAUCUUUUGGAUCUCAAUACACACUUGCUUGGAAGGAUGUGUAAUUUAUUAUUGCUCCUUUUUUUCUGACAUCUUGUCUUAAUCUGAUUAAUGUUGUCUAGUAAUGGUGAUGAAAUACUUAGAAAUUCUAUCUACCAUGGAU
Long non-coding RNA from Triticum aestivum (bread wheat), 1427 nucleotides. RefSeq lists it as uncharacterized. Lineage: Eukaryota; Viridiplantae; Streptophyta; Magnoliopsida; Poales; Poaceae. The record is from RefSeq and is a predicted model, not a curated record. The transcript has 4 exons.